CGAGGCGUGGCGCAGUUGGUAGCGCGGGUGGUUUGGGACCAUCAGGCCGCAGGUUCAAGUCCUGUCGCCUCGACCA
RNAcentral lists this transfer RNA (76 nucleotides) under Oscillospiraceae bacterium. RNAcentral describes it as "tRNA-Pro". It matches the Rfam family "tRNA". Rfam says of the family: Transfer RNA (tRNA) molecules are approximately 80 nucleotides in length. Their secondary structure includes four short double-helical elements and three loops (D, anti-codon, and T loops). Lineage: Bacteria; Bacillati; Bacillota; Clostridia; Eubacteriales; Oscillospiraceae. The record is from RNAcentral.